Molecule: long non-coding RNA, 1125 nt
Organism: Halichondria panicea
Lineage: Eukaryota; Metazoa; Porifera; Demospongiae; Suberitida; Halichondriidae
Exons: 3
Source: RefSeq, a predicted model, not a curated record
GGGAACCAGCGUGGCUAGGCUAGCUAGCCUGGAGCUCUGGAGGCAGCCUAGCUAGCUAGCUAGCUAGAUAAAAUAAUCCUAGACAACAUGCAGCCUAUAGUUCAGCUACAAGGCAACAAGCACUUCUGUUAUCAAGUCAGAAACUCGCCUCCAUCUUGUUCACUUGGCAAGAAAUCGACUGUCGUGAGUGAGUCAAGAGAACGUUGCGGUGUAAUAUCACUCCAUUCAAAUGACCAAUCUGGAACACGUUUUAUUUGAACAGCUAUGCGUGCUGUAAUGUUGAGCAUACUCGAGUGGCAAUCUGUUGGAGGUACCUACCUGACUGUUUGUUGACCGAGCCACUAGCAUGAAGCUGAUCAAAAGUUGAAGUCCAAGAACCCGGCUUUCUUGUUCGGCUUUUCAGCAGGGCACACAUGGCCAUCACCACCAUUGUGUCUGAUGUUGGAUCCACUUCUUCAUCAUCUUCAUUAUCCCGCCUGCCAGUGUUACCGAGAAUCCUCAGCAAUCGCAGGAGAUAGCAGCUCAAAUUCUUCAAGGAGUUUAGCCAUGGUAAAGUCAUUGAAGUGAUCAACAGUAUCAGGCCCAUGAUAAGCAACGUUUUUCGAAGUUGUCAAGGAAUUUAUUUGCCCGACAAGCUGUUCCUCUAGCCCAUGAACUCGUUCUUCCAAUGCUUUCACCUGUUGUCUUAGCUGACUAUUCUCGUGUUGUAAUGGCGAAGGAUUUGGUAGAUCUACUAGCUGGUUGUUCCCGAGGUUCAAUACCAAAAAUGUGUGACUUGCGAGAUUUUCCAGCUGGUCUUGAUAUUGAAAGAGGAAAAACAGACUUAAUAACGUCUGACACCAUUUUCGAGUUGAAUUUUGUCUUUACAAAAGCUGAAGAGAUGUCGUUAUACAAAUCCUCGAACUUUACACGUUUUGCUUGAGGUCCUUCGGAUGGUGCGUCUGUGUAGCGUUUCCUAAGCCAUUCUUCUUUAGAUGAAUCCAUUUCAUUGAUUGUGUAAUAAAAUAGUUCAUGUGUAUCUCUAUCCCUUUUUGUACUAACUAUUUUUGGGUAUAAUUACUGACAUCAUCAUUACACAAUGUUCAUGUAUUAUUAUUAGUAACACAAUUUUGCUUAUUAUAAUGA